This 2500-nucleotide long non-coding RNA is filed under the name Gadus morhua (Atlantic cod). RNAcentral describes it as "lncRNA (ENSGMOG00000024211.1)". Lineage: Eukaryota; Metazoa; Chordata; Actinopteri; Gadiformes; Gadidae. The record is from RNAcentral.
GCAAAUGACAAUGGGACAUGUGGGGUGUCAAGGUUCAGGGCAAGUAAGGAGGCCUCAAAGAAAUCUUCCUCAAAAAUUGAUGAAGAGGGCAUACAGGUGGCAGUCUGCAGACAUGGGAUAUUAUUGCGAGGACUGAACCACUACCGUGGCGAAAUAUUUGCCUACCCCAUGUUUUUGCAGAAAGAAUUGGGAGAGAGGGCAAAUGUCACUUUCUUCUGCAUGGAUGUUGUCUGCAGGUAAUUUCUCUUUGUCAACCUACUGUAUAUUAAAUGAUUAAAGGAUCGUGGUUUUAGAUUGAUGUCCCAGCAAAAUGUGUUGCAACGUGCGUAAUACCCACUAAUGUUGCUCUUGUUUUGUAGGUACUGGCCCUACCUAAGCAAAGUGGUUGAUGAGUUUCCAGAUCUUCAGCCUUUGAUGCAUAUGAGACCAUUUCUCAGUGUAAUGCACGCCAAAGCACAUACAGCAAAAUGCGAGGUACCUGAAAUAAUAAUAAUGCUUUACAUUGCACUUUUAACAUUAAGUAAAAGUGCAAUGAAAUGAAUGGUAAAACACUAUGUUGCAGGUGAGAUGGGGUGGCAGAAAUCAGGAUGGAGCAGGGAACACAGUUGGAGAGGAAGUUGAACAAGUAUGUUAUUACUGUCAUUAUUGAAACGGUGGACAUAGGACUCUUAGGACUCAUUCGCAUCAUGCGAAUGAUGAUGCACAUCUGCAGGGAAUGGGGAGAACAGUUACUCUAUUGCCGCUUCAGAAAAUAAAACAUGCUGUAUGACUGGCCUAUGUAUUCACAAAAUGCUUUGAAUCAAAGACAGGAUCUAUUAUGUUUUUUUUAAUGUAUUUUUUGACAGUUUAUAUAGGGAUAAUUUAAUUAAUGUAUUGUCUUUACAUCUAGGUGAACAGCUUUCUCUCCAGGGCAGCUCUUAUCACAAAAUACAUGACAAAAGCAGGGAGAGAAAAUAUGCUGACGCAACAGGCCAUGGGUUGGAACAGAAAAAAGACAGAGAACCUCCACAAAGCUUUGGCCCAGAGAUACGUCACAAUCUCAGAGAGGGCAAAACUGGAAGCUGCCAGCCUCAGUGACUUUCAGCAAAAGCAAAACCUCACUCAGCAAACAAUAGAGCAGUGGGUGUUUGAUGUCCAGCAAUGGGCAGUCACAGAUCGAGUCUACACACAAGGGUGUACAGAGGACCUCAGGGCAGAAAUAGAGACCAUCACAGUAACCCUCCUACGCAAGAAGCAGGACCUCUAUCGUCAGCAUGGCUAUUGUUUCACUUUGCAGAUAGCAACCAGACAAGACACAGCAAGCGAAGAAAACUUAGAGAUUUAAAAAAAAAACUAAGAGAAAAGGUCUUGCAGUACAACGCAUCUGAAGAAGAUGAAAUUGAUGAGGACUUGGCCUGCAAUUUGACGGAGGGCUACAUCCUGCCAUGGGAGAGAAGUGAAGAUGGUAUGAUGUUUUCCCUUCUGACUAAAACAUAAACAUAAUUCCCCCUCUCAAAUGCUUUAUUGGCAUGACUGUUUGAGUACAGUAGUCUCUGUCUCUCUCUCACACUCUCUGUCUGUCUGUCUCUAUCGCUCUGUCCCUCUCUCUUUCUCUGUGGGUUUGUAAUGUUAUCAAAGUAUUCCUUUUUCAUAUUUCCAUCACUUUCCUCUACCUACAGGCCACUCAUUCAGAUUGAAAAGGUCACUCUUUGACCGAAUUAUGCUACUUAAACGGUAUGAGGAGGAGCAGAGCAUCCUCAUCAAAGAAAUGACACAGCACAUCAUGUCAUUAAGGAAGAAGAUAAAGGGAGUGGAGAAACUCAAAGACAACAUUGGGAUGUUCGGUAUGUUGAAUUCUGAACAUUCAUUUUCCUCAAAAUGUAAUUCAAAGUAAAUGUUAUGCCAUAGUAAAUGCCAUUUUCAAUAUUUUCUAUUUCAAUACAGAUUUUGGUGACAUGUCAGAGGACGCUGCAAAAGGUUUCGAAAGUGUCCUCAUGCGGAGGUCCACCGAACUGGAGAAUUCAUGCCAACAAGCUGUGAGCUCAUACAGUGCUAUAGUUGAUGAGUUAGAGAUUGAAGACACCGAACAAAGGGUGGAUUCUGAGGGUGAAAAUGGCUUCAGUAGUCCGGAGUCAGAGGAAGAGGAUUAGGAAGGAAAAUAUCAGGGGGGUUUAUUUUUGCUUUCUGUUAACUUUGUUCUACUUAUAUUUUCCCUCUGUAUUGUAUCCCUAUGUAUUGUUCCCUUAAAUUAGAAAAUAAUAAAUUUUAGCAUAUUCACAGUACCCUGAACUAAGAGCCCAACUUGUUAAUUAAUCAUAAUCAAAGUAGGGUAUAUUUGUUGCUAUAUUUGUUGGCACUCUACGGCUGACUGAAUGUUCAUGCAUUGGUAAUCUAUAAUAAGUAACAAUAAAUACAAUGCCCUUCUUUGAGCUAAUGACUCCAUACUCACUUUUCACUUUGACAAGACUGAUUAAGUGCUGUAAACUAUACUGUUUUCAGUCUGUGACAAGGUAGAUAAGGC